CUGGUCUCAAACUCCUAGCCUCAAAUGAUCCUCCUGCCUUGGGCUCUUAAAGUGCUGGGAUUAUAGGAGUAAGCCACCGUGCCCGGCCCCUUAGCUUCUCUUUCGAUGAGCUGCUGCUCAUUGCUAGGGAGGAGGGUGGAGAAGGAGGGCAUCACUAUCUAUUGUGAGGAAAAGUUUUAGUUCUGGCAACCAUGAAUAUCUUACUCAGCAAAACAGACUACCAUCUGGAAAUUUAGUUCCUAGACUGACUUUGUGAAUACAGCCCAAUCCAGUUGCCUGAGCUUAGUGGGACAUGACUCAGGCCAGAAUUUGGGUUUUGGAGGUGAGACAGGCUAAAGUGGCCUGAAGAGCCCUGCCUGGGCCAGAACCUGGGUUGGAGGACACAGGAUGCAAAGACAACCUUUGUGGGUUUGGAGAGGCCAAGGCUGAGGAAGUGCCCAGAGCCCACUCUGUAUGCGUGUGUGUGAGUGUGUUGGGGCAUCUGCCCUCAGCAGGGUGGGUGUGUUUGUGUGUGUCAGUAGUGGUCUGUGUGUGACAAACAUCUGCUCUCCGUGUGUGUAUCUGUCUGUAUUUGGGGGAUGGUUAGUGUGAUCGUGUAGUGUAUUGAGGCAACCCAUGCCCACAGUGAUGUGUGAUUUGUCUGUUUUCGUGUGCACGUCGGGUGGUGUGAGUCGCUGUGUGGUAUCUGUCCUCUGUGGUAAGUGUGUGCAUGUGCACAUGCAUGUGUUUGUGUGUGGCGGGGUGGAAUGUGUGACUGAUGGUGUGUAUGGUCUGUGUGGAGAGGAGCAUGUGCACUAAGCGUGUGAGUGUGUGGGGGGGUGUAUGGUUGUGUGGUGCAUUGGGGGAAUGUGCAUCAUCAGUGGUGUGCUGUUUGUAUUUAUGUAUCAGUCAAUGUGUGUGUGUGGUGUGUAAAGGGUGACCAUUCUCUCGUGGGCCCCUGCCUUUUCCACAUCGUGCAGCAUACACACACCGAGGUGCAGCUCUGUGGGCCUUGAGGGUGGUGCAUCAGCAUAAAUCAAGUUUCAUUGCAGCAGGAAGAAGGAAGACCGGGCUGGGCAUGGUGGCUCACACCUGUAAUCCCAGCACUUUUGGAGGCCGAGGCGGGCGGAUCACCUGAGGUCAGGAGUUGAGACCAGCCUGGCCAACGUGGCGAAACCCCAAUUCUACUAAAAAUAAAAAAGUAGGGCGUGGUGGCACAUGCCUGUAAUCCCAGCUACUUGGGAGGCUGAGGUGGGAGAAUCGCUUGAACCUGGAAGGCAGAGGGUGCAGUGAGCUGAGAUCGCAUCAUUGCACUCCAGCCUGGGUGUCAGAGUGAGACCCUGUCUCCAAAAAAAGAAGAAAAAAAAAAGAAAGAAGACUAAGUAUGAAUUAACAGGAGUUAGGAAAGGUUUCCUGGAAAGAAGGACUUCCAAUCUAUGCCUGUGCUCUAUUUGACUGGGAUUUCAGCAAGCAAAGUGUGAUGCUGACACCAGCUAUGCAGAAAGGGCUCUGGAGAGAUGUUCAUAGCAGCACACACCUGUGGCUCUUCUUCGAUUCUGGAGGCUCCAGCGCAGCCAAUGUUGCUUCGUC
Molecule: long non-coding RNA, 1569 nt
Filed under: Homo sapiens (human)
Lineage: Eukaryota; Metazoa; Chordata; Mammalia; Primates; Hominidae
Description: HSALNT0123173
Source: RNAcentral